UCAAUCCUCUCUUUCAACUAUGGCUGCUUCCACAAUGGCUCUGUCUUCCCCAACCUUCGCCGGCAAAGCCGUGCAACUUUCCCCGGGAGCCACCGAGCUUUUCGGAAAUGGAAGAGUCUCCAUGAGGAAAACUGCUACCAAAAAAGUCUCCUCUGGCAGCCCAUGGUACGGCCCUGACAGGGUCAAGUACUUGGGCCCAUUCUCAGGCGAGCCCCCAAGCUACCUCACCGGCGAGUUCCCCGGUGACUACGGCUGGGACACCGCCGGACUCUCAGCUGACCCAGAGACCUUCGCCAAGAACCGUGAGCUCGAAGUGAUCCACUCCAGAUGGGCCAUGCUCGGAGCUCUUGGAUGCGUUUUCCCAGAGCUCUUGUCCCGCAACGGUGUCAAGUUCGGCGAAGCCGUGUGGUUCAAGGCCGGAGCCCAGAUCUUCAGCGAGGGCGGUCUCGACUACUUGGGAAACCCUAGCUUGGUCCAUGCACAGAGCAUCUUGGCCAUCUGGGCUACCCAAGUGGUGUUGAUGGGCGCAGUUGAGGGAUACAGAAUUGCCGGCGGACCCCUCGGAGAGGUGACCGACCCUCUUUACCCCGGAGGAAGCUUCGACCCGUUGGGCCUUGCCGAUGACCCAGAAGCCUUUGCUGAGCUCAAGGUGAAGGAGCUCAAGAAUGGAAGGUUGGCCAUGUUCUCCAUGUUUGGAUUCUUUGUCCAGGCCAUCGUCACCGGAAAGGGACCAUUGGAGAACCUUGCCGACCACCUUGCCGACCCGGUCGCCAACAAUGCCUGGAACUAUGCCACAAACUUCGUUCCCGGAAAGUGAGAGCUCGGAAUUGUUUUGUACUUUUGUUUGUAGUGUUGUCGGUGAUGUAAAUUUGGUACCAAGUAAUGGACAACAAUUGAUUUGAACUAUUUCGAUCUUUUCGCUUUUGAACAAUCUAUUAAUUGGUCGAAAUUCGUACCAGAAAACUUUGAAAUAUUGCCUGCUAGGGCAAAGCAAAACUGAACUGAGAAAUGCAAUUGGAAGAUAUGAACUAUGAGAUUACAUGGUUCAGAUUCACCUAAAACCUUUCCUUCAAAAGACCUCGGUGCAAUUUAAGCGAAAAUCUACCCCUUAAUAACAAUCAUUUCUAACACAGGCUACAACGUGUGGCAAUUGUAUUUGAUCCACAAUUUCUAACACAGGCUAUCUUAGACAUGUAGGGGGGAUGGGAACGAUUCGAUUUGGAAACGGAAAUGCCAUAUCCAUCCUCAUAACCAUGAAAAUUAACCAUCCUUACUCCCUAGGUAAUAGGCAGGAUCCAAAUAAAUUUGUUCCGAGUCUACGAGCAAUGCGAGCUCAGAUACUCUGCUUUUAAGAAGAAAAUGAUACAAUAAUUAGAAGAAUAAACAUGAUUUUGAAUAUUUAUUUGCUUCAUAUCUCUUGUAUAUUUUGCGUGGAGAUAUUUAUGUAUUCAAUUAAUAUGCCCGAAAGGUAUACGAGUUUUGUAAUUAAAUUAAGAACCUAGUAAUUAGUAUACAACUAAACUGGUUUUAUGAACAAAUAAAUGGUGAUCGAAUGUAAAAGAAUGAACAAUUUGUCGAAGGCGCAUCGAUUCUUAAAACCACCUCUGUCGCUUCGAGCAUUUAAUUUAACAUUUGCAGAACUUGAAAACAUUCAAUCUCAAGCUUCUGGUGUGCUCGCUAGUCAGAUAACUUUCGUUCAAAACAUGCAUCCAUAUAUCGACCUUACCUGUCCGAGCGCCAACUUGCCAGAGACGAAGCCACAUUUGUUUCGCUAAAAAAAGCACAGACGUGCCUUACAUAGCAAGGUAUCAUAAAGCUUUAAGCGUGAGCGACAGCCCUUGCUCUGGCCAGAGACUUGGAGUAGAGUUCUUCGUACCGUGAUGCAGAAGUAUCCCAACUGAAAUCUAUAUUCAUGACCUUCUGAACAAGCUGCUGCCAACUAUCCGGCUUAUUCAUGUAGAGGGCGAAUGCACGUCCCAAGGCCCCGUUGAAUCCCUGUGGCGUUUCCAAGUCAGGAUACAGUAAAUCAUGGACAAGAAAAACUAGAAUAACAUACUGGAGGGGAGAAAAAUCACAACACGAGGAAAGGAUCUACGAUCAAAUUGCAAGCCUUGAGCACCAAUGCCAGAUCAAAAACGAAAGAAAAGGAAAGAAAAGGAAAGAAGAAUGUAUAUGGAUGGGCUUUACCUGUUCGUUAGGAGUCAAGAAUGAAUAUCCAUUCCGAAACUGAAGAGGUACGGUGUCGUCAUCAACAUCAAAAACACUGCACAUUAAGUAUUUUAGGAGUUAAGGUUCCUCUAGAAGGAAUAACCUAAAUCGCUAGUAGAACGGAUAAAAUAGGUCAGGCAGUGGAUACUCACCUAUCAUUUAGACCACCAGUUUUUCUUACAAUGGGUAUAGAACCGUAUCUCAUGGCUAUCAUCUGCCCAAGAAAAAGCACAAGUUAAUCCAGCAUGAUGUAGCGAGUAGUGUGCUGAAGUUUUGCGCAGGAAAGAGAACAGACUUUACCUGUGUAAGUCCACAAGGCUCAAAGAUAGACGGGAUGAUGAACAUAUCAGAAGCAGCAAAAAUGGCAUGGGAAAGAGAGUCGUCGUACUUCAAUAUCAAACGAACAUGAUCAUGAUUCUCAAAAUGGCUUGCAAGACCCUCAAAUUCGCUCUACAAUAGCAAACAACACAACAAAAAACCUUUCAGUUAUAGAUUAGAUCAUCAGAUAAUGAAGAGACUACUAAGUAUUUACAUCUACCGGACGGGAGAAUCCAGCGUAUUUAUAACUUCAAUCAAUUUGAAACAUUUAUAUCCAUUUGUUAAUUAAAUAAGCAUGACAAACAAACAAUAAAGAACACGAUAUUAAAUUGGACUUUUCUAUCGCUUUGGACUUGAACUCAGAAUCUUAGCAAUAUAUUGGAUUAGAGAAUAGGUAUUAUGUUUGAUACUGCUUUCAACUUAGCGAUACAUUAAUAUGGUUAGAGACAACAGAGAUACAUUCCCUGCUUGAGCAUAAAAUAACAGCGUAAUUUUCUAACAGUAACGAACAUAGCCAGGAUAUAAUAUCAAAACGGAAGAUAGAGCAGUGCCUGAAUAUGAUGCACUGGGCUAGAACCCAGAAGUACAAACUGUCCUCCGAGCUCCAAUGUUCGAUAUAUCGCAUGUCUGAUAAGAUGUACACCUUUCUGUGGCACCAAUCUUGUUAUGCAGCCCACCUAUUAAAGGAUUGAUCAAACAAUUUCAAUUAAGUAUUCACUCAUCUGGAUUACCGAAAAUAGAAUAAUGAUGCCAUUUUAUAGAGUACCAGAUAUGAUUCCAAGUGCAGAGAAAAUUUAACAGAAAAUGAAAUUACCAAUGGCCUCUUGACAUCUGCCGAAGAAAGCCCCAGAGUUCUUCUUAAAGCUUCCUUAUUUUCUGCUUUCCCCUGACGAUCAUUAGCACUGUACUGUACUUUGAGAUACGCAUCAGUGGCAGGAUUCCAUGCAUCAGCAUCAAUACCAUUUAGAACUCCAUUGAACUUCUUAGAAUGAAAAUUUAGUGUUGAAUGGAGACCGUGUCCUCCCUGUGAUCAUAAAUAAACAACUAUUUUUUUACAAACGGAAGUUCAAGAAUUCAAAAAAUUGGCUAACUACACAAAACUUUUCACCCAUAGCAUCUUAAUCAAUUUCAAGGCUGUCUGCAGUAAAGUUAUUUUGACUGUCACGAAAGUCCAAAACAGAGACUGUGUCUAUGAUGUAUUUUUUACAUGAGUAGGGAAGAGAUAUAUUGUUCUCUUUUCUCAUCUGUGAAGUGUACUAAUGCCCAAAAACAGAAUAAAAGUGGGAUGUUGAGUAUCCAACAUGAAGAACCUUUUGAUUAGGAGCCACAUAAUUUACUAGAGGUCCAACAACUGAUGACUUCUAUAUCAAAGCUCUCUUAGAAAAGCACAAUUUUGAAAUUUUUUCUUUCAUCUGAAGAGGCCAACAUCAUGUCAACACAAAUCCACAAACAAAAUCAUACACUUAGAUGUUGAUAUCUCUAACGUGUGUGGAAUCUGGAUUACUAUGUAUACAAGAGAGACAUAUUUACACAAUUUAUGACGGAAACUUACAUUUGGUGAAAAUUAUUAGAUUCUCCAAAAUCAAAUGUUAAAAGGAAACAAUGCCUAUAGGCUGGGUCGGGGCAAGAAAUUUGAAUUUGAAUCUGAUAUCUAUAGGAAACUGUUAGUAUGAGCAAAAGCCAUACCUCAGCAGUCAGCACCUCUUGUGCAUAGGUGGGUGAUACUGUUGUCACGAUAUUAGAGAAUACAACUGCACCCUUAAAGAGAGAAGUACAAAAAUGAUAAUGGAAUCAGGAAAGCUUUUGCCAACUCCCGAAAUGCUGGUAAUAAAUGAAUCAACAAUUGCUAUACCUUAACAGCAUUGAUCCUAUCAUGUGCUGAGUUGUCCUGCAUUCUAUCUGGUCUAUUUAGCUGGUGGACAUCAAGACCACAAGAUGCCAAUUCUGAAGCAGGUGCAGUCCCUUGGUAUUCAAAGUUGUGGCAUGUAAAACAUAUUCUAGCUGAGUUCAAUCCAUUUGGCGCAUAUAGGUCCCAGUAAAGUGGAGCCUAAGAACAGCAACAAGUUAAGAGAGAGAGAGAGAGAGAGAGAGAGAGAGAGAGAGAGAGAGAGAGAGAGAGAGAGAGAGAGAGAGAGAGCAUGGUAAAGGAAAAUGAAGGUUUAAGGGUCCAUACAACAAAAGCUGUCUGCCAAUCAUGGCAGUGAAUUAUGUCUGGUUGCUUGCCAGAUUGAAGAAGCAACUCAAGGGCUGCACGACUGAAAAAGGAAAAUCGCUUGAAAUCAUCAUGUUCCCCAUAAAACCGUCCUCUCCAGAAAAACUUAUCAGGAUGCAGAGGCUCAAUAAAAUAAACAGGAAGACCUGCAUAAUCAACACCAGAGUGAGCAUCCAAGACUACAGUAAGAAUCCAAGACAAUAAUAUGUCAUGCAAACGAAACUUUCAAUGUACAAACCUUCAACAGUGCCAACCCAGACUUUAUUUUUGAAUAGUCGACCGUCAAAGUAUGACUCUAACACCAGAUCUAGGGCCUGCAUGUUAAAGUGUAAUGAAACUCAAGUAGAAAAUGCAUCUUUUCUAAAAUUAAUUAACUAUUCAACGUACCCUUAGGUCAGGAACACGAUCGUACUGCAUGCAGUCAUAUUUGGGAAGAACAAUUUCCACAAGGUGUCCCUUCUUCUGCAGUGCUUUACCAAGACCAGCCACAACAUCCCCCAAACCACCAACCUGUAAAAUUAACUAGUUAUGUUGAUGGUAUGUUUAUCAAAACAAAAUGGAAGAUCUUUGAGAUGUCCCUAUACAUUUAGACAUGAAUAUUAAACAGUGUUCAACAAAUUCCUGAAUCUGAACUACUGUAAUAAAAGUAAUUAUAGCUUAACAAGUAAGAAACCCCGCUCAAUUAUCUUAAUAGAAUAAAGCAAAGAAAGAUAAAAAUUUAUAGAGGCAAGCUGAACUCACCUUAGCAACUGGUGCCAUCUCUGCUGCAAUAUGAACGACAUGCAAUCCUGGACUAAAAAAUCAACAAACUCACAGAUUAAAUAAAAGCCUAAACACAAAAAUCAACAAACUAGCAAUAUGAACGACAUGCAAUCCUGCAUUCUUCUAAUACUAGAAAGUUCAUACCUUGUUUGUGAUGAUAUCAGUUUGAGAAAUGUAGACACAGCGUCAUGCUCGUUCUUUUCCUUGCAGGCCAUGUAUGAGUCAUGAAUUCGUCUCUCUCUCUUCCAAACCAUUUCUCUCAAUACCUGAGCAUCAUCAAUUGAUAUUUUGUUCUCAAACAACCAACCAUCGAUCAUAAGCAAUAAACGACUCCAAAAUUCCCAUGGCAUAUCAUCCACAGGUUCAUCAACUGCCCUUCUCUUGCUUUCUUCUUUUAGAGUAUUUAGUGUAUCUUGAAAUUCCUCCACAGAUUCUUGAUAUAAUUGAACAUAAGAAUGUAUCUCUUCGUCAGAUCUUUGAAGCCGGUCCUCCAUAAGUUUUAUUUUCUGUUGCAUCAGCUCAUUAUAUCGUUGCAUCUUUUCUGAUGACUCUCUAUAGACAUUAGCUGUUUCAAGAGAUUCUUCUAAUUUAUCAACUUUCUUUUGAAUCUCUUGGUUCUGCUGUAAAACUACAAUAGCUUGAUCUGCCUGUUUGGUUGACUUAUCUAGCAGUAGCUGCAAAUUCUCCACCUUCUCCCAUAAUCCUUUGCAUUCAACUUUAAGAUUGGAUAGUUUGGACACUUCUUCCUGAGAAACUGACAAUUUCGAUUCCAACUCUUUCAACGCAGACUCUAAAGUCGACCGUUGAUUUUCCAGCAUUACCACCCGUUCAUCCGUAUUCUUCACAUAGCUAAGCUCCUCCCUGAGUGCUUCUACAUCAUUCUUUAGGGAUUGAUUUUCCAAUCUCAAUGCAUUCAGAUUGGCAACAAGAGCAUUGAUGCUAGUUCUGUAUGGUAGAGGAGCUUCUUCGUUAAACAGCUGGUCUUCAUUCUCAAAAAUCUCCACCUGACCUCUUUCAACACCACCGUCACCAUUGAGAUUCAGUUCAUUCCGCAUCUUAUCUAACUGGUUUUCCAAAAGUUCCACCUUUAUUUUUUCCUGGGCAGCUACUCUAAUCCGCGCAUCGGUCUCUGCCAAUCUCAUCUCCAAAGCAUUCAUCUGUCCUUGCAAUGCCUCCUUCUCACCGAGAAUCUUGUCAAGGUCUUCAAGCGCAUUAACCCGCGCCCGGUUGAGAAGAUGGAUAUCUAAGGCCACAAAAGAGAUAUACAUGUUUCACAAAUCUAAUAAAUGAGGAAUAAACAGUAAGGCCUGUUUGGGACUGCUUAUAGGAUGCUAAAAGCACUUUUGACCAUGUUUGAAAGAAAACUUAGAAACACUUAUACAUAAAUCAAGUGCUUUCUUAUCAUAAAAGUGGUUUCUUAACUGCUUUCCAUAAAGCACUAGAAUUUCUAAUAGAAAAUUCGAAGUUUUCAAAUAAAGGAGCUAGAAGUGCUUAUGCACGAAAGUGCUUCUUACAAAAGCAGUCCCAAACGGACCAUAAUUGAAGGCAAAUGAACAGGGCAGAGUAAUAACCUACUUUUCUCUGCAUUUCUAAUCAUGCCAACCAAAUCCUGAGUAUUAUACGCCUGUAAAGCCAACAAGCAAUCAAACUCAUAACAAUAAUUUAAUAAUUAACACGAACUCUUGAGUGUUGAUAAGCAAAGAUGAAGAGUUACCGAAGGAUUUGCUUGAUCAGACGGAGUUAAAGUUGUCAAAAUCGAAUCGUUUCCAUUGGCAGUGGGAGCUUCGUGAUCAGAUACGCUUUCAAUGGGGACGAUGACGCCCGCCGAAGAAGCACCGUCAGAUUCGGAGUCGUCGUUGCCAUUGAACCGGAAAUCUGUAGUCGUCGAAGGCUGUUCAACCGAGCCUUUCUUCCUUAGUCUAUGCCUCUUAUUCACGCAAUUGCAACUUCAAAAGUCGAAGUCGAAUCAAAAUUAUCAUCAAUCACUCGAUCAAGCAGAUUGAAGUUUGAGAAUUUGAUCGAUAAACGAUUUCAGAGAGAAAGAGAGGAGGGAGAGAGAGAGAGAGGAGGGGGAAGGUACCUGAGAUUACGGUGCCGGGGCUUGCAGGAAGAAGCAGGAGAGCAGUGAAACGAAAAGCGAGCGUUUGAAUAUGAGCGGUGGCGGGAGGUGGAGUUGGAGCCGGUACUGCUGAGCCCCUGGGUGACGAACCAGGUCGUUAGUCUGACCGCCAUUGAUGAUCAACUCAAGCUUUCUCUCUCCUCUUUCGGUGGAGAGAGAGAAGAAGAAGUGGUUUCUUUGGCACAACGACUAACAGUCGUUUUAUCGUACGACUCGGGGGCGAAUAUAAGCAGAGGAUGUCUCCCGUCCAAGGAAAGUAAUCGAAUAUUCUAACUUUUUUACUUUUCUAUUUUUUAUUAAUCAUUCUGUUGGAAUUAAUAAAAAUAAAAAUAAAAAUAAAAAUUGGAUUAGUAAGCGAAUGAGGAUGCUCUUUGUGAGGAUACGAAGAUUUUUAAAUCGUGUCCAUUUAUUGUAUACUGUAUAGUUAAUUUUUUUCAUGUACUAUUUAUAUUUAAUUUUACAUAAAAAUAUUUAAAAUAAUUUUUAUCUACAUAAUGUACGAUGAGACACAAUUUAAAAAAUUUUUAAAUCCCCAUAAAAAGAAUCCGGAAAGCAUCCUCUUCCUUUGUAAGCAAUAUUAAGGAGGGUGAGGUGUAGAAUGUAGAUGGAAACCGAGGUGAGUGAGUCACCUUAUCUAAAUCGAACGGUGAUGGGGUGUGGGCCAAGGUCCAUAACAGGUGGGCCCUUCCACAAAAAAUUUCUUAUGAUAAAAACCUACCACGAAAUUUGGAAGUUGGAUAAUUGAAAGCGAAUAAGUUGGGAAGUUCGUUUCUAAUGGAUGAAGUUCUUAAUAUAUCUUUAGAUUUAAUAGAAAUAAAAAAGAUGGCGUUAGUAAAAAUGAUAAUAGUGCAACACAUUGUAAGUUUGAAGAUUAAAUAAAUUAAAAGUAAAUUACAUAGUAACCCCUUAGGUUUGAGGUCUAUUACAACUCCAUACAACAACUUUAAAACAUUUCAUUUUCAUACAUCCAGUACCAUUUUAUUUCAAAAUAACACCUCCGUUAGAUUUUCCAUCCAUUAGUCUGUUAAAUGCUGACGUGGCUACCACAUUUGUGCUGAUGUGGCUGCCACGUGGCAAAAAAAGAUAUUUUUUUAUUUUUUAUUUUAAAAAAAAUCUAAAUCUUCUAAAUAUUAAAAUUAUAAAAAAUAAAUAAAUAUUUUAAAAAAAAAAAACUAGAAAAUCCCGAAACCCAGAUCCCUUCCUUACCCCCCACCCUUCUGCAACUCCCAAAAUCCUCUCUUCUCCUCGCAACCCCAAAACCCAUAUCCGCCAUCUUCAUCUUCUUCCCUGAAAACCUAGAAAUGAUAACCCCCCACCCCACCCCACUCGCGUCCCCCACCCCAAAACCAAAAACCCAGAACACCCCUUCCCCACCCACGACCCUCCCUGUGCACCCCCUAACCCACGACCCUUCCUCCCUCCGCACCCACCAUCUUUCAUUCUCUACACACCCCCACUCUCCUCUACACACCCCCCACUCUCUACACACCCCCAUCGCCGACCCAAUUGCUUCUUCUACCACCACCGCCACCGCAAACAAUCAAGACAUCAGCUUGCUUUAAGUUAUGUACGCCAUGGAAGCUGCGGAGGCCACAAUCAAGCAGCAGGUGGAAUACAACAUUCGGUUACGGGCUCAGCUCGAAUACAAGAUUCUUGAGCUGCACAGGUACAAGCUCCACGAAUCCAUGGCCGCCCAAUUGCCGCAUUCCGCCCGCGAAUCUCAGGACCAAGCUCAUCAGGUAGCUGCCGCUGGCGUCUACAAUCGAAUCGAGAGGAUUGCGAAUCACGGUUCGUCAUAGCAGAGUCGUGGGGAAUCGAAAACAAGAGAGACCCAAUUGGGCAGCAGCGAAAUCAAUGAAGGUGGUUCGGGUUUUUGGUACUCCAACGGCGGCUGAUAACGCAAGCAAUGGGAUAUCGAGAUUGUCAUCGCCGUCUACGAUGACGUCGCUUUCACCAGGCAGGUCGAGCAUGGAGGGGGAUUACGGAAAUGGGUUGAUGCCAUUGACCGAGUCGAACAACCCUAAUAGCAGAAUGUUGAAGAAGGAUCUGGUUGUUAGGGUUCAUAAGCACGAUCAAGAAAUUAUGCAAUUGCGAAAGCAUUUGGCGGAUUAUUCGAUCAAAGAGGCGCAAACUCGGAACGAAAAGUAUGUGCUGGAGAAGCGCAUUGCAGGUUGUGGGUGGGUUGCGGGUUCAGCUUGAAUUUGGUUUUUGGUUUUGUUUUUUUUUAUUUAGAAGAUUCAAGUUUUUUUUUUAAAUUAAAAAAUUAUUAUUUUUGCCACGUGGCACACAUUUGGCAGCCACGUGGCACAAAUGUGGCAGCCACAUCAUCACUUAACGGAUCAAUGGAUGGAAAAUGUAACGGAUGUAUUAUUUUGAAAUAAAAUAGUACUUGAGGUAUGAAAAUGAAAUGUUUUAAAUAUGUUGUAUGGGGUUGUAAUAGACUUCAAACCUGAGGGGCUACUAUGUAAUUUACCCAUAAAUUAAUAUGAGAUUUCAGAACCUAAAUGCAAAUUUUUUAUCUGUAUAUAUAAAUAGACAAGAUAAAAUUGAUCAAGCUUUCGUAAUAGUCAAAUUACCUUUCUCUCAUUAGAAUUAAUAAUAAUAAUAAUAAUAAUCACAAAAAACCACACACAUAGUGAAAUUGUGGUCGGUUACGUUCAUUAUUUUCUAAAUAUAUUUUAAUAAAAUUAGUAAUAUUAAAAAACAAUAAAAGAGUAAAAAAAAAAAAACAAUUACCACGUUGGAGUGUGACAGGAGACUAGUCUAUAUAUAAAGUUAGCAUUUUUUUUGUAUCUCCUAUAAGAGCAGCUCCACCAGAGUUGAUAGCCAUGUGGACAGGGGACCAAUUCAACCUAAUCCCUUCCCUUCCUUGCUCCAGCCUAUGAGGGCGAUUGGGCUAAAGGGGGCUCGUGUGAGAGGGGAGGUAGGAGUCCAAAGCCUGAGCGCUUGAGGCAUGUCUGAUGCAAAGAUGACGUCAAGCACGUUAUACAUUUUGUUUGCAUAAGGCGCGUGCAUCACAUGUGCGUGUGGGGGCGCGUCACCGACUAGAUUUCAGUCAGUGGGACCCGCAGUUUGAAUUCUGAAACGUUACUUUGUGGGUGCCACGUGGCAACCUCAAGGCUGUUGGAUUUCAAUAGAUACUUUUUUUGGACCAUUGGAUUUCCAAUGGUAAAAAAAAAUAUUCAAACCUCCCCCAACGACUAGAUGAUAUGGCACAAUCUCAGUUGUUGGAUUUCAGCUCAACGGUCCACGUUAUUUGCCUUUAAAAAUUUCAAAAAAAAAUCAGAUAUAUUACCGUUGUGCCACGUGGCACAAUCUGGAAGGUUGGAUUUCAAUUUUUCUUUAAUCCAACAACAUAAAUUAAUUAAGUUAAUAAAAAAUGUAAAAAGUUAUUUUUUAUUAUUUUAUAAAAUAAAAAAAUACUAAUAUUUUAUUGUCUAUUACCAUGACUAUUUAGUUUAGAGGUGGAGAUGCAAAAGAUAAUUAUUGUUCAUUAAAGGUAAUUACUAUUCACUGGAAGGGAUUCAAUAGGCAGUUGCCCUCAGGGCCUUCCAACACUAGAAGUUCUCUAAGUAAAGUUAGCACCUUAAAAUAAUAAAUUUUUCUAUAUCUAUACAAAGAAUGUCUCUCUCUAAUUAGAAUGUUAAAAUAAAAGUAUUAAUUUAAAAAAUUACUUAAGGAUUCUGAAAAAUAAAAGAUUCCAACAUAGUGGGCAUUAUUUCUUUGAAAUUUAAAAUAACUAUGAAAUCAAUAUUUUAAAUAAAUUACAAAAUAAAUUUGAAAAACUCAAUUAUCACAUGAGUUAAUCGGUGACAAGAGGCUAGUUUUAUAUACACCAUAUAUUAACAAUAAUCAUAACUCAAACUUUUAUUCACGAUUUAACUCAAAUUUAUGAAAUUUAAGUUGACCACUUUUUUUAUAUUUUAUUUUUUUGCACAAAAUUUAUGUUGAUUAUUACGAUUGGGAAAUUGUUACUCUUUCCACAAGCUGUGAUCAGCAAAGCCACUGACACUCCUGAUGAACAAAUCCACCAAUUACCCAUCUUUUUCUUUGCGCUUCUGCUCCUCCUCCUGCCGUUCCGCCGUCCAAUCUCCGCCUGCUCAGCCGUCGCAGGACCCCGCCACCUUCAUAGCCUUCCUGCAACACGCGCCCGACCCCACAAAACACACACUCUGAAACACUGUUCACUGCGCGCUUCCUGUUUUACCCCUGCCAAGUUUGCAUUAUUACAUUUCUUCUUGCCUCCAAGCAGGCAGCCAUUUUGCUCCGGAUCUUUCACAUUGAAAUUCCUCUCCUUCUACCUUUGCAUGUUGAAUUUCACAUCAACAGCAUCUCCCUAUAAGCUAGGAGCUUUGUUCUGUAAAAGUUCUAGUGAAUGACAAUGAGUGUUUGAUAUUACUUGAAUGACAAGUAACUUGUUUAUGGGUUAUUUGUUAUAAAAGUGAUAUAGUUGAUCUCCAACUCAUAAGGAUUAUGGAGUCUGAUAUUCAUGCAGCUAACUUGAUCAAAUCCUGAUAAGGGUUUAAUGCAAAGAUAUUGAAUCAUGAUAGGACUCUUUCAUCAUUUAGAUGAUAAGGGUAUGCGACCGUUGAUAGGCCGAUGGCGUAACCCUAACUGAUAUAUAUAUAAAUAUAUGAAGUUGUAGUCCGUGCUCCCAUACGUGAAAAACCCUAAAUAUUGCUUAAACCUAUUCACACAGUAAGGGAGCUAUUGAGUAGUGGGAGUAUAAGACUGACUUGCGUUACAAUCAUGGCAUAAAAUACAAGUAGGUGUUCCUGCAAUUAAUUUUUGAUAUACACUACUAUAUAUUCUGUAUGAGUUAGUUGUAUUGUAACCCUAGUACCUAGUUGUUGUAGUUUGGCUUAUGAGUUUUAUAUAACUGCUUACAUGUUCGGCUUCAAGCUUUCCGACGGUAAUUGGACGAUUCCUCAAACGCCCGCCAUCAAGGUUAGUCUCAAACUAUUCCUACCUUAUUGACCUUUUGCAUCUCAAAAUAUGCUUCAAAUUUGUGAUUUAAUAUAAUUGGGCUUUAGUCUAAUCCAAUUUAACGAUAAGAAAUUCCAGCUGGGGAUGGGACUGCAAUUUCAUCUGCUCCAAACAAAUAGAUUCCUUUUAAUCUGAAUUUAGAGAAUUAUAUUUGAAUUUUUUUUAUAUAUGUGAGCUGCUUUUCUAGGAUUUUGUCUUAAAGAGUUCAUCUUGAUCAUACACACGAGUCUGAUAUUAUCAAGUAAGAUGCCCAAGUCCUCUUGCAUUCAUAUAAUUACAUUUGUGAGCUGCUUUUCUGGGUUUUUGUGACAUAUGAAGCAGGCUCUUGUAUAUUACACUAAAAUAAAAUUGUCUAUUUUUCUAUUUUCCCUUAAAAAAUGGAAGGUAGAAAAAAAUAAUAUAUAUUGGCUUAUUAUAUUAGCAUCCCACAAAUUGUUGAAUAAACCUCACAUACUUAAUACACCCCACAUUUUCUUUUUCAAUUAAAAAUUAUUUUAAUACACCACACUUCCUUCCUCAUAAUACCCUCACACCCCACAUUCUUAAUAUACACCUUACAUUUUCUACAUAAACCCCACAUUUUUUAUAUACCCCACAUUUCUAAAAUCUUAUAACACUCAUUUUUAAUUUUGCCGAAUGAUUUCAAAGUAUCUGAACGUUAGUUUGCCGAAUGAUUUCAAAUUGAAUACAACAACAACAACAAAGCCUUUUCCCACUAAGUGGGGUCGGCUAUAUGAAUCCUAGAACGCCAUUGCGCUCGGUUUUGUGUCAUGUCCUCCGUUAGAUCCAAGUACUCAAGUCUUUUCUUAGGGUCUCUUCCAAAGUUUUCCUAGGUCUUCCUCUACCCCUUCGGCCCUGAACCUCUGUCCCGUAGUCACAUUUUCGAACCGGAGCGUCAGUAGGCCUUCUUUGCACAUGUCCAAACCACCGGAACCGAUUUUCUCUCAUAUUUCCUUCAAUUUUGGCUACUCCUACUUUACCUCGGAUAUCCUCAUUCCCAAUCUUAUCCUUUCUCGUGUACCCAUACAUCCCAUGAAGCAUCCUCAUCUCCGCUACACCCAUUUUGUGUACGUGUUGAUGCUUCACCGCCCAACAUUCUGUGCCAUACAACAUCGCUGGCCUUAUUGCCGUCCUAUAAAAUUUUCCCUUGAGCUUCAGUGGCCUACGACGGUCACACAACACGCCGGAUGCACUCUUACACUUCAUCCAUCCAGCUUGUAUUCUAUGGUUGAGAUCUCCAUCUAAUUCUCCGUUCUCUUGCAAGAUAGAUCCUAGGUAGCGAAAACGGUCACUUUUUGUGAUCUUCGCUAGAUUGCUCCAGUCAUUAGUGUGGAUAAGUAUAUAAAUGGAUAGAGAUAGGAAAGCAAUCACAAGAUGUACGUGGUUCACCCAGAUUGGCUACGUCCACGGAAUAGAGGAGUUCUCAUUAAUUGUGAAGGGUUUACACAAGUACAUAGGUUCAAGCUCUCCUUUAGUGAGUACAAGUGAAUGAUUUAGUACAAAUGACAUUAGGAAAUAUUGUGGGAGAAUGAUUUCGUAACCACGAAACUUCUAAGUACUGGAGUGUGGUAUCGUCUUGACUUUCCUUAUCUGUCUCAUAGGUAGAUGUGGCAUCUUCUCUGGAAGUACUCUUCCUCCAUCCAGGGGUGGUAUCUGUAACUGGUGGAGAUGCACAAGGUAAUGUAUCAAUGUUCACUUGAAGCUUACUUGUAGUUUCAGGCUUGGUCAAGCGCGAUACAAACCAUGUAGUAGGAGUCCCCCCAAGUCGCCGAGCUAGGGGAUCUGCUGAAAGAGGUGACAGACAAGGUAAGCAAUCAGAGCUCCGGCUGAUUGUUCAUAUUCUCCCUAUCUUGCAGGCAGCAUGAAGGAUAAAGAGAAGAAAAAUGAGAAGAGAUGAUAUGGGAUACUUUUGCUUUUGAAGAAGUAACUUUCCACAGGCUUAUUCUUGAACUGGGCUGGAGGGUUUUCUGGUUUCCUCCAGAGAUAAGGCCGACUGAAGAAUUUGAGGGUCAAAACAAGUCCAUCAAAUCUAGAGUACGUUCGACCCUGCUGAUAUGGGAUACUUUUGCUUUUGACAGAGUAAUGGAUGUAUCGGCACGUGUGCUGUUACGCUUGUCUCCACAUGCUUCCUUGUAUCCUUCUCACUUGCCCUAUUUGUUCCUCAGGCAGAUGCGGGAUCUUCCCUGGAAGUAUAAGAUGUUGAAGAUGAGUACUCGAGAGCAAUGCCAGGUAAGUAAUCAGGUAAGGGGUUCCAGGCAGUCAGUUCCUGGCUGGAAGCUUGAUUCCAAGUGCUGACUGAUUGCUCUCUUUCUCCUUGUCUUGCAGGUAAGAACAAGGCCAAAGGAAAAGACAGGGAAAAAGCAUGAUAUGGGAUACUCUUGCUUUUAACCCUGAUGAUAUGAGAUAUUCUUGCUCUAGUAUAGCUUGUUUACAGAGGUAUUAUCGGGGGGAAAGAAAGCUGAAUAUUUCGAAAGGCUUCGUUGGGAUUGCCCUCUCAGAUAAGAGGAAGGGUUGAGCAUUUUUGCAGGUCUGCAUGUCCGUUGAGGAUGGAGGUCGACAUAUAUAGAAGUCUCCCUAACAUCAAGUAAUAAUGCUAUUCCUUUACCCUACUUGGUCAUAGCACGGUAGUGGGAGCUGCCAGCUUCACAAGUUUUAACUCUGUCAGAGCACUUUGAAAAAGUGGUCUGUGGUAUCUGGAAAGCUGAUGUUGCGUGUGAAGAUUACAGACAAACUUUAUCCAAGGAGAUCCAGCUCUUGAAGUUGGGAAAGUGGUGCCUCUUCGGUUUUCGAACAAGCAAUCCUGUCGGGGAUCUGGCUCUCGAGAUUCGGAGAACAAUGCCUCUUCGAUUUUUGAGAAAGCAAUCCUACUGGGGGUCUGGUUCUCGAGAUUCGGAGAGCGGUGUCUUCGAUUUUUGAGAAAGUAAUCAUGUUGGGAGUCUGGCUCUCGAGAUUCGGAGGGCGGUGCCUCUUUGAUUUUGGAGCAAGCAAUCUUGUUGGGAGUGUUUUCUCGAAUGUGAGUAAAGGUUGGGCAUGUUUGCUAGUCUACCUUGCCACGAAGCAUAGAGGUUGACAUACAGGGACUUUCCAAUUAUCCAGCAGUGGUACUGUUCCUUUACCCUAUCUUCGAUUUUUGAGAAAGUAAUCAUGUUAGGAGUCUGGCUCUCGAGAUUCGGAGGGCAUGUUUGCUAGUCUACCUUGCCACGAAGCAUAGAGGUUGACACACAGGGACUUUCCAAUUAUCCAGCCGUGGUACUGUUCCUUUACCCUCUCUUCGAUUUUUGAGAAAGUAAUCAUGUUGGGAGUCUGGCUCUCAAGAUUCGGAGGGCGAUGCCUCUUCGAUUUUGGAGCAAGCAAUCUUGUUGGGAGUGUUUUCUCGAAUGUGAGUAAAGGUUGGGCAUGUUUGCUAGUCUACCUUGCCACGAAGCACAGAGGAGCAGUGGUACUGUUCCUUUACCCUUGUGGGUAAUAAUAUGGUAGCUAGACCUUCAAAAUUUAUGUGUCUAAACUUUGUUAGUGUUGUUUCUUUGCUAAUCUUUUACCCUUCUUGGUCAGAGUGAUGUAGUGGGAGCUGCAAGCUUCACGUGUCUCAACUUUGUCAGAGAACUUUGUCAGAGAACUUUGGCAAGUUAUCUGUGGUACCCAUGAGCUACUGUUGCGUGUGGGAAGUGGGUGAUUGAACAGUAAGAUUCAUGUGCUUUUCUACUUCGCCAGAAAUCUUCGACAGAAUGCCCAUAAUUUCCGCAAAGCUGAGUGUGCGUGUGACAGGUGCUGACAAGGCUGGAAAAAGUAGGUGCCUCUUCGAUUUCUGAGAUCGGCCCUCGUGGUCUCUGAGCAGCCCAGCUUUUGAGAAAGCAAGCCUCUUCGAUUUCUGAGAUCGGCCUUCGUGGUCUUUGAGCAGCCCAGCUUUUGAGAAAGCAAACGCCUCUUCGAUUUCUGAGAUCGACCCUCGUGGUCUCUGAGCAGCCCAGCUUUUGAGAAAGCAAACGCCUCUUCGAUUUCUGAGCAGGCGCCUCUUCGAUUUCUGAAGCUUCCGUCGAGUGCAGAUUUUUAUAGGGGCUGGCAUUAAGUUCCAAAGCACACUUGAAUCUCCACCAGUAGAAGCUUCCAUUCUUGCACUUCUAAGAUCUUGAUUUGUCCGACCUCUUCUCUCUUCAACACCUUUGAAAAUGUCUGGCCCCUCCGACCGUCGUUUUGACUUGAACCUUGUUGAAGAGGCAGCCCCGCCUUCUCCAGACAACAUAUGGCGCCCAUCCUUCGUCUCCCCUACUGGUCCUCUUACCGUUGGGGAUUCCGUGAUGAAGAAUGAUAUGACCGCUGCGGUGGUGGCCAGGAACCUUCUCACUCCCAAAGAUAACAGACUACUUUCCAAACGGUCUGAUGAGUUGGCUGUUAAGGAUUCUCUGGCUCUCAGUGUUCAGUGUGCAGGUUCUGUGUCUAAUAUGGCCCAACGCCUAUUUGCUCGAACCCGCCAAGUUGAAUCAUUGGCGGCUGAAGUGAUGAGUCUCAAACAGGAGAUUAGAGGGCUCAAGCAUGAGAAUAAACAGUUGCACCGGCUCGCACAUGACUAUGCUACAAACAUGAAGAGGAAGCUUGACCAGAUGAAGGAAUCUGAUGGUCAGGUUUUACUUGAUCAUCAGAGAUUUGUGGGUUUGUUCCAAAGGCAUUUAUUGCCUUCGUCUUCUGGGGCUGUACCGCGUAAUGAAGCUCCAAAUGAUCAACCUCUGAUGCCUCCUCCUUCUAGGGUUCUGUCCAGUACUGAGGCUCCGAAAUGAUCCCCCUCCGGUGCCUUCUCUUUCUGGGGCUCUACCGACUGCUGAGACUUCUCCUAAGCAACCUUUGUGAAGGCUCCCUCUUGUUUGUUUAUUUUGACUCAAGUAUAUGUACAUAUUUGUAACUUAUCGGGGAUAUCAAUAAAUAAGCUUUCCUUCAUUUCAACGUAUUGUGUUAAAUACACCAAAGCCUUCUUCGCUAAGUUCUUUGAAUUUUCUUUUGUUGAAGCUUGUAUGUUGAAGCUUUGUGAGUGGAGCAUGUAGGUUGAGGUAGUGUUCCCUUAAUUUCCCGAGUGAGGAAAACUUCUCGGUUGGAGACUUGGAAAAUCCAAGUCACUGAGUGGGAUCGGCUAUAUGAAUCUUAGAACGCCAUUGUGUUCUGUCCUGUGUCAUGUCCUCCGUUAGAUCCAAGUACUCUAAGUCUUUUCUUAGGGUCUCUUCCAAAGUUUUCCUAGGUCUUCCUCUACCCCUUCGGCCCUGAACCUCUGUCCCAUAGUCGCAUCUUCUAAUCGGAGCGUCAGUAGGCCUUCUUUGCACAUGUCCAAACCACCGUAACCGAUUUUCUCUCAUCUUUCCUUCAAUUUCGGCUACUCCUACUUUACCCCGGAUAUCCUCAUUCCUAAUCUUAUCCUUUCUCGUGUGCCCACACAUCCAACGAAGCAUCCUCAUCUCCGCUACACCCAUUUUGUGUACGUGUUGAUGCUUCACCGCCCAACAUUCUGUGCCAUACAGCAUCGCCGGCCUUAUUGCCGUCCUAUAAAAUUUUCCCUUGAGCUUCAGUGGCAUACGGCGGUCACACAACACGCCGGAUGCACUCUUCCACUUCAUCCAUCCAGCUUGUAUUCUAUGGUUGAGAUCUCCAUCUAAUUCUCCGUUCUUUUGCAAGAUAGAUCCUAGGUAACGAAAACGGUCGCUCUUUGGUAUUUCUUGAUCUCCGAUCCUCACCCCUAACUCGUUUUGGCCUCCAUUUGCACUGAACUUGCACUCCAUAUAUUCUUCUGUCUUUGAUCGGCUUAGGCGAAGACCUUUAGAUUCCAACACUUCUCUCCAAAGGUUAAGCUUUGCAUUUACCCCUUCCUGAGUUUCAUCUAUCAACACUAUAUCGUCUGCGAAAAGCAUACACCAAGGAAUAUCAUCUUGAAUAUGUCCUGUUAACUCAUCCAUUACCAACGCAAAAAGGUAAGGACUUAAGGAUGAGCCUUGAUGUAAUCCUACAGUUAUGGGAAAGCUUUCGGUUUGUCCUUCAUGAGUUCUUACGGCAGUCUUUGCUCCUUCAUACAUAUCCUGUAUAGCUUGGAUAUAUGCUACUCGUACUCCUUUCUUCUCUAAAAUCCUCCAAAGAAUGUCUCUUGGGACCCUAUCAUACGCUUUUUCCAAAUCUAUAAAGACCAUGUGUAAAUCCUUUUUCCCAUCUCUAUAUCUUUCCAUCAAUCUUCGUAAGAGAUAGAUUGCCUCCAUGGUUGAGCGCCCUGGCAUGAUGAACCCGAAUUGGUUGUGUCCGAAACCCGUGUCUCUUGCCUCAAUCUAUGCUCAAUGACUCUCUCUCCCAGAGCUUCAUUGUAUGACUCAUUAGCUUAAUACCCCUAUAGUUCAUGCAAUUUUGUACAUCGCCCUUAUUCUUGUAGAUAGGCACCAAAGUGCUCGUUCGCCACUCAUUUGGCAUCUUCUUCGUUUUCAAAAUCCUAUUGAAAAGGUCAGUGAGCCAUGUUAUACCUGUCUCUCCCAAAACUUUCCACACUUCGAUUGGUAUAUCGUCUGGGCCUACUGCUUUUCUAUGCUUCAUCUUCUUCAAAGCUACAACCACUUCUUCCUUCCGGAUUCUACGAUAAAAAAGAGUAGUUUCUACACUCUUCUGAGUUACUCAACUCCCCUAAAGAAGCACUCCUUUCAUGUCCUUCAUUGAAAAGAUUAUGAAAAUAACCUUUCCAUCUGUCUUUAACCGCGUUCUCUGUAGCAAGAACUUUUUCCAUCCUCAUCCUUGAUGCACCUCACUUGGUUUAGGUCCCUUGUCUUCUUUUCCCUUGCUCUAGCUAGUUUAUAGAUAUCCAACUCUCCUUCUUUGGUAUCUAGUCGCUUAUACAUAUCGUCAUAAGCCGCUAACUUAGCUUCUCUCUCACAGCUUUCUUCGCCUCUUGCUUCGCUUUUCUAUACCUUUCACCAUUUUCAUCGGUCCUAUCCUUGUAUAAGGCUUUACAACAUUCCUUCUUAGCCUUCACCUUUGUUUGUACCUCCUCAUUCCACCACCAAGAUUCCUUUUGGUGUGGGGCAAAGCCCUUGGACUCUCCUAAUACCUCUUUAGCUACUUUUCGGAUACAACUAGCCAUGGAAUCCCACAUUUGGUUAGCUUCCCCCUCUCUAUCCCACACACACUGGGUGAUUACUUUCUCUUUGAAAAUGGCUUGUUUUUCUUCUUUUAGAUUCCACCAUCUAGUCCUUGGGCACUUCCAAGUCUUGUUCUUUUUUUCUCACUCGUUUUGAUAUGUACAUCCAUCACCAACAAGCGAUGUUGAUUAGCCACGCUCUCUCCUGGUAUAACUUUGCAAUCCUUACAAGUUAUACGAUCCCCUUUCCUCAUUAGAAGAAAAUCUAUUUGUGUUUUUGACGACCCAUUCUUGUAGGUGAUCACAUGUUCUUCUCUCUUCUUAAAGAAGGUGUUGGCUAAGAAGAGAUCAUAUGCCAUUGCAAAAUCCAAGAUAGCUUCCCCAUCCUCGUUUCUCUCUCCAAAACCAUGGCCACCAUGAAAACCUCCAUAGUUGCCUGUCUCCCUGCCCACGUGUCCAUUUAAAUCUCCUCCUAUAAAUAACUUCUCCGUCUGAGCAAUUCCUUGCACCAAGUCUCCAAGGUCUUCCCAAAAUUUCUCCUUCGAACUCGUAUCCAACCCUACUUGAGGUGCGUACGCACUAAUCACAUUGAUAAGUUCUUGUCCUAUUACAAUCUUGAUUGCCAUGAUUCUAUCUCCUACCCUCUUGACAUCUACAACAUCUUGUGUCAAGGUCUUGUCCACGAUGAUGCCAACACCGUUUCUCGUUCUAUUUGUGCCCGAAUACCAUAGUUUAAACCCUGAGUUUUCUAGAUCCUUUGCCUUACGCCCAACCCACUUAGUUUCUUGUAGGCACAUAAUAUUUAUCAUUCUCCUCACCAUAACUUCUACUACUUCCAUAGAUUUUCCCGUCAAGGUUCCUAUAUUCCACGUUCCUAAACGCAUUUUGCUCUCUUGAACUCUACCCUUCUGUCCUAACUUCUUCACCCUUCCCCGUCUAAUAGGAUCAAAGUACUUCUUUUGUGUGUCCCGUGUAAAGUUGAUAGGAGCAUAUGCUCCCAAACAACUUUGAGUGGAGUCGUUCGAAAAGAAGUUUCUAUAGCCCCUUGCUCAUUUAACACUGCAUCCGGGUGCCGAUGGAGAUACAGCGACCCUUGCUCAUUUAUCACUGUGCUCGGGCCACACAGCGCGCCACUUACGGGUGACGCCCUAGCUUUAGCGCGAUUUCGUUCUGGAUUCAUGAUUUUGUGUUUCAUUCGUCAAAAAUAAUUUUUCUCAAUCAACAUGUUUGUAGUUUCAUUGCUUAUGGUUUUAUUCAACAAUGGAGGGUGGGAGGGGUUUUUGAUAGUUGAAGUAGAUAAAUAAUACGUUAAAAAUGAUUUGGGGUGUAUUUAUAAAUUUUUUAUUAAUUUUUAAACCUAAUAAGGUCAAAAUUGUCAUUGCAUAGUGGAGUAAAUAAGUCAUUAAUAUUAAUUUUUAAUGUGGGAUGCAUCCAACAUUUUGUGGGGUGCUAAUAUAAAAAGCCUAUAUAUUUUGACGGGAAUAAACCGAAAAUUCCCUUUGUUUCUUCAUUUUCAUCUGAGAGUCGCUUUCAUUUUCCCAUAAGUCCUCACCUUUGCCGGAAACAAAAGCCUUUCGAUUCCCCAAUCAUGGGCUGUGCCGUUGCAAUCACUCUUCUGAUCGCCGCCGCAACGCUGAUCGUCACUCGCCUGCUCUACGUAUUGCACUUAACCGGCAAACCCCACAAACCCCCCAAACCCAGCAGCUCGAAAGGCUCAGCUCCCCAACCCCUCAGCACCCUAAUCGUCUUGGGCUCUGGAGGCCACACGGCGGAGAUGAUCAACCUCUUGUCCGUCCUUCAAAGAGACAGAUUUGCCCCUAGGUUCUACAUCGCCGCCGCCACUGAUAACAUGAGCCUCCAGAAAGCUCGCCUACUGGAAGAGAACGCCGAUGAGAGUUCGAGCUCGCAGUUCAUGCAGAUCUACCGUAGUAGGGAAGUGGGUCAGUCUUAUUUCACCUCUGUUUUGACCACUUUGAUUGCUUUGGCUCAUGGGCUCUGGCUAAUGAUCAGAAUCCGACCCCAAGUGGUAAUCUUUUCGCCUUUUCGAAUUUUCGCAUUUUCGCUAUUUGUUUCAGUUGAUAUGAGACAUUGGAGAUUAAAUUGUCGAUGAUCAGUGCUGUUGGUGUUGCAGAUUCUGUGCAAUGGGCCUGGGACUUGUGUUCCACUUUGUGUAAUUGCAUUCAUAUUCGAGGUUUGGAUUGACCAUUUUGAAUCUGUUGUCAUUUUUCUUUGUUAAGUCUUUUGCCAUUUUGUUCUGUUAUGAAUUUCGGGACCUUUUCGAUAUGUGCAGGUUGUGGGGAUUCGAUGGUCGUCUGUGUUUUAUGUUGAGAGUAUAGCAAGAGUGCAGAGGCUCUCCCUGAGCGGCUUGCUUCUUUACAAGUUACGGAUAGCGGAUCAAUUCUUUGUCCAGUGGCCUCAGCUACAGAAGAAAUAUCCCCGAGCUCACUAUGUUGGUUGUCUCAUGUAGUUGAUCCGAUUCUGCUGCUGCUAUACAUGCUCUAACGUCCAACUUUUCGCAAUGUAAUGUGCGUUUCUCAAGGUUUUAACUUCUACAGUUUAUUUUGUUUCGUCGACCAUAGUUGCCAACAUUUUAGCUUCUUACUAAUUGAAGAAGAGACUGAUAUCAUUGCAUCGAUGAGGAAAGUGUAAAGAUUGUCGAAAUUUAUAGUACUUUUUAGGGCAUACCUGAGAUCAAAAGUUAUGCAUUACUGGGUUCAACUUGUAAUCUUGUAUGCUAGAUAAUUUAACAGUGAUCGCAUUUUGGUUUAUCGAAACUAGGCUUUGUAUCUUUACCUUUUAAUUUCUCUAUCCUUCUCCUUUUGUUAUCGUUGAAGAAUAUUAGUUACAGCUAGAACUGGAAUGAAGGGCAAGCCGGAAGCACUCAUGACAUUGGAGAAUAAAGAAUGACACGUCAAAAAUCAAUCCAAUGAAUAGCAUAGAGAUGGUGAUGCGCACCCACCGGGUAAAAUCUCUGGGCUGAGAAAUUGUUGCUUGUUGGGAGAUUUUCUUAAACUCAAGUGUAUUAUCUUCUUCAGCUUCUUCAGCUGGUAUGAAACACAUAUUUGGAUUACCAUGGAGGUAGCUUCAUCUAUGAUUUAGUUCAUCAGUAAAAUCACAAAUUUUCUUUUAGUUGCAUACGAAUAUGAUCGAUCUGUCAACUAUUCGGUGUUUUUUCUUUGUCUUUUCAACAUAAUGUGCUGUUUACAAUUUCUGUUGCAUGCAAUCUAUCAUUUAAUGUAUGAGAUAUUAUAUAGCCGUUCAGGUUCCUCCAUUGCAGAUAUGUGCUGUAAUUCUACCGCUACAGAGUUAAUACAUCGGAAUGAGUUUCCGAUUUUAUGCAGAGAAGCCAUAUAAAAACAUGAAAACUAUAAAAUCUUUGUGCACAUAUAGAAAUCGACUUACCUAUGAUGUGGGGUUGUUGCCUUUCAUCAGGGCAAUUGGAAAGCUUGUAAUUCUGUUCUUUUGCAUAUAAAACCAGAGAUGAUCUACAAACCAGUGUUCUAAAAAACGGCUUAGGCGGUGGCGACCCGAGGUGUUUUCUUGCAAAUUGGUUGGAAAAAUCGGCUGGGCUCUAGGCGGGCUAGGUGGUUUUUUUUUUGUUUUUUGAAAUUUAAAAAAAAAAUCUAAUGUACAUGUGUCAUCUUACAAUACUCCUCACUAUAGGGGUGGGCACGGGCCGGGCUGGGCUCAAAAUUGAAGGAACCGGACCGGACCCAUUUAUAAAUAAAACGAGGCGGGGUAGGGCGGGUUUUGGAUUUUUCAAAAUGGGAUCCGGACCUACCCGACCCUUUUGAAACGGGCCGGUCCUACAGGUCCCCACAGGUCCAAGUGUGGGUGCGUCAGCUUCCUAGCAAGUCCACGUCUCCUCCAUCCUCAGGUACCACCUCGAGUCCUUCAGCCGCUUCACCGUCAUGAUAAACCCGAAUUCCAUCACCGCCUUGUAUGUACUUCCCAUUGUGGAUCCAUACAUAUAAAAUCAUGGCACCAUUUAUCCGAAAUCAACAAAAUCAAUCACUUUGUCUCUAGUUCCUUUUCAAAAUCAACAAAAGGGAUCUGGGUUUAUACCCUUUGAUUACAGGAUCCCUACACAAAUAACAACAUGCAAGAGACAUUUUCCUUCAAUUUUUCCUUAAUCUAAACAUUAGAAACAAAAUCGAAGAAGGAUGAGACUAAAGUCUAAACUCCACAACAAAUUCAAAAAAAAAGAAGAAAAAAAAAACCCAUCUCAUAUUUCCCACCAUACGGUACCUGCAGAUUAAUGAAAACCCAGAUGGGCUAGAUGCUCAAUCUUGCAAAAAAUUAAGAUCUGAGAGGAGACACAGGAAGACUAAGAACAGAGGGCAUAGUGGUCGACUUCGAUUCGCAUGGCGCUGACGAUGGUGGUGUUUGACCAUCUUGAGGUGCUGAUGAUGGGGGUCUUCGUUGAGGAGGAGAAUCGAGAGAUAGGUAGGGCGACGGUGGCGACGGUUCUGAGUUUGAUGUCGUCGAGGUCGCACAAAAUGCCUACAUAAAGCUGGUGCUCCACACUUUCAAGCACAAGAUAUCUGUCGUCAACGGCAUCCUCCUCGGCCGCGUCUCCCCCCAGAACGACGUCAUCGAGAUCACCGACUCCGUCCCUCUCUUUCACUCCCACAUCGGCCUCCUUCCCCAGAACGAGAGAUAGAUGGUGAAACAGCAGCGCCGGUUCUGAGUUUGAUGUCGUCGAGGUCGAGGAGGAGAAGACGAGUGACAGAGAGUCUGUGGGUGGGAGGUGACGAGAAAGAGUCUGAGUUACAGACUGGGGGAUGAGAUCCUAGAUAAUGGACUAAGAAAUGGGCCGGUUUGAGGGCCCGUUCUUCUCAAUAUUUGGACUCGGGCCCGAACCUUAAUUGCCAUAUCCCAGCCCCGCCCCGCCCCACCCCGUUUACUCUCCAAAAAAAUUGGAACCGCCCCGACCCGCGGUUCCACUGCCCAUUUGCCCACCCCUACCUCACUAUGGUUAUGUGGUAUAUAUGCUUAAUGUGUUUUUAAAUUUUGGACUUGUUGGAUACUCUUUUUGUAUUUUAUCAUUCCUUUAUCGGAAAAUUAGAAUCCUGUACCGUUUUUUUUAUAUCAUUUAGAUUAAAUAUAUGUGCCUUUUUAAAAUUUGAUUAAAGUGCUUUGACCAAUAGUCACCUCUAUUUUUUAAAAUUAAAAUAAUUUUUGAAUUUAUCCUUUUAUCUGCAUGAUGCAUUUUUCCUUAUUUAGUGGAAAUAUUAGUAAUUAAACUAUAUUUUCUCUUCUUCCAAAUAUGUUUUUCGAUCACAGUUUUUUUUUGUUACGCUAACAUUUAAUAUUAUUUCUUUUUCCAAAUGGUUUUUUGGUUUUCAAAUAGUUGGUGAUCAACAUAAAAGCUUUGUGUAAUUUUUUCAAUUUUUUUUGUGAAAUUAUAUUUUUUUGCUGUUUUUUAAGGGGCUUUUAGAUCUAGGUCCAAAAACAUAAAUGGUUUUUAGGAGUGAGUCCAGUUAUCUAAUUACAUGUUUUUAUUUCUUUUAUACUCAUUUUAUAUUUUUGUCUAAAAAUAUUAAAAUCAAUUAAAAUAUUCUAAUAUUAUGCAUUUUUCAACUCCAAAAAAUAUAAUUAAUAUCUUAUAACAAAAAAAAUAAUAUACUAACAUAAAUCUAUCUGUAAAACAUUCUACCUUAACUCAAGUAACAAAUAUAUGAAUGAAUAUUAUACCUAUAAGCAAGAUAUGAAACCUAACUAAAAGGUAGAAAAAACAUAGAUACCUACAAGCAAGACACAUUAAUCUUAGUUUAUUAUAAAAAAUCUAUUAUAUAGGUAGAUAAAUUAAUUAACUUGUGAUAUAGGUUGAUUAUAAAAAUUAAAAAUAAAAUCUAUGAAUGAGGUGUAAAGCAAGAGGAAAAACAAAAAAGAACAAAAAAUACAUAAAAAGAAAUAAUCAAAGAGAUAAUUAGGAAGAAAUUUGAUUUUUAUAAUAAAUCUUAUCGUUAAAGAGAUAAUUAUUGAUAAUAAAAAUAAUUAAAUUUAAAACUUCUUUUAAUAAAUUGGACUAUUCCUACUAUUGGCUCAAAAAAUUGGACUUAUAUAAAUAUAGUUGUUGACAAAUUACUAUUAUGUACAAUACAUUACGUAUAUAUUAUCUGUGUGUAUGUUUGAAUUUAAAAAAAAUCAUUAAUUGGUACGCUUAUUUGCAAUUUUGGUACGUUUGAUUUGAUACAUAUUGUUAAUAUUAGUACAUUAUUUUUAUUUUGGUACGUUUUAUUUUGUACACAUUGUGUAUUGGUACGUUUCUAUUAUUCUCAAUCCUAUUUUCUCUUAACAUACUAAAAGAAAAACUUAUUUCGGUACGUUUGAUUUUGGGGGAUUUAAAAAUAUUUUAAACUAUUUUGCAAAGAAAAUAUCUUAAAUUGUAGAUAAUUAUUGCUAAAUUGUAGCAUUAUUGUGAAAAUAAAUUGAACCUAACCAACUUUUUAUUUUUAUUUUUUACAAUUAUCUCUAUCGGAUGAUAGUGUAAUCAAAAUGCUAGAUUAUAGGAAAUUUGAUACAAUAUAAUGUGCAUAUAGCACCAAAAUUAUGACAAAAACAAGUUUAAUCAAAUCACUAAAAUGCAUGAAUGUUUGAUCUAGAAAAUUCAAAA
RNAcentral lists this long non-coding RNA (26314 nucleotides) under Malus domestica (apple). Its description in RNAcentral is "long non-coding RNA (MDOM_LNC009650)". The record is from RNAcentral. Lineage: Eukaryota; Viridiplantae; Streptophyta; Magnoliopsida; Rosales; Rosaceae.